Molecule: long non-coding RNA, 499 nt
Organism: Mastomys coucha (southern multimammate mouse)
Lineage: Eukaryota; Metazoa; Chordata; Mammalia; Rodentia; Muridae
Exons: 3
Source: RefSeq, a predicted model, not a curated record
GUCCCUUCCACUGUGUUUGUCAAUAAUGAGUAACUGAUGACAUGUAAGGACUGAGCUACUGGGUCACCAAGAGCAACUCUAUUUUCUAUGCUAAAGGGAUCCCUCUACCUACGGUCACAAUACUGUCUGGUUUGUGGCUGUGGGACUGUGGUAGCAGAGACAGGUGGGCGGGGAGUGACAUCUCAGAGCCAACCCCAGCACAGGAACAGGCAGAAACUACCCACUGGGGCUCCGGAGUUCUAGACUUGUACUCGUCUGGGCCCAGGCUGCCUGAACAGACCACUGCCCCACAACUGGUAAUCCUAGAGAUGUGGUUUUCCAGAAGUAUGCAAAUAUUAAAUGAGAACGGCCUCUAAGCAAUUAAGGGAAACAACAUGGGGGCGGGGAAGCAAGCUGGAUACAUGAAGGGCUCAGCACGAGUUCCCACACGACAGGAACAACAGCACUGGGCUACUCCACACAAGUCUUGUUUCAUUGAAAAUUAAUAUCCAGACUCCAA